This 195-nucleotide long non-coding RNA is filed under the name Prolemur simus (greater bamboo lemur). RNAcentral's name for it is "Pvt1 onco conserved region 1 (ENSPSMG00000005373.1)". It matches the Rfam family "Pvt1 oncogene conserved region 1". The record is from RNAcentral. Lineage: Eukaryota; Metazoa; Chordata; Mammalia; Primates; Lemuridae.
AGAGCGCGUGUGGCCGCGCCGAGCACAUGGGCAGCGGGCCGGUCGGGCUUGGGGCGGCCCGGACGGGGAGGGGCGGCGAGGGGCCGCGAGCGAGGAUGGGCCCUGGCACCCCGGAACCCCCUAAGUGGAUUUCCACGCGGAAGGGAUGUUGGCGGCCCCGGUGACCUGUGGAGAUACGGCUGGAACCACCCUCCA